UACGUAGGGUCCGAGCGUUGUCCGGAAUUACUGGGCGUAAAGAGCUCGUAGGUGGUUUGUCGCGUUGUUCGUGAAAACUCACAGCUCAACUGUGGGCGUGCGGGCGAUACGGGCAGACUUGAGUACUGCAGGGGAGACUGGAAUUCCUGGUGUAGCGGUGAAAUGCGCAGAUAUCAGGAGGAACACCGGUGGCGAAGGCGGUUCUCUGGGCAUUACCUGACGCUGAGGAGCGAAAGUGUGGGGAGCGAACAGG
Molecule: ribosomal RNA, 253 nt
Filed under: uncultured bacterium
Lineage: Bacteria
Description: partial 16S ribosomal RNA
Rfam family: Bacterial small subunit ribosomal RNA
Source: RNAcentral